GGGGGGGGGGGGGGGGGGGGGGGGGGGGGGGGGGGCGGGGGGGGGGGGCGGGGCGGGGGUGGGCGAGGGGCGAGGGGGGGGGUAACGGGGGGGUACCCGGCGCGGGACUGCGGUUUAACUGCAGGACACGGGGGCGACUACCGCAGAGUAAGCCUGGCUGCCGGGAGGGGGUGGGAGUGCUUCGUCGGUUGUGGCUGGACGCGCGGCUUCUCAGGUUGUGUGUGGGGUAGUGGCUUACCAAGGCUUUUCUGGGUAGCCGGCCUGAUAGGGCGCUCGGCCACAUUGGGACUGAGAUACGGCCCAGACUCCUACGGGAGGCAGCAGUGGGGAAUAGGGCACAAUGGGCGGAAGCCUGAUGCAGCAACGCCGCGUGCGGGAUGACGGCCUGCGGGUUGUAAACCGCUUUCAGCAGGGGCGAAGCUUGUGGUGACGGUACCUGCAGAAGAAGCACCGGCUAACUACGUG
RNAcentral lists this ribosomal RNA (465 nucleotides) under uncultured bacterium. RNAcentral's name for it is "partial 16S ribosomal RNA". It matches the Rfam family "Bacterial small subunit ribosomal RNA", at positions 38 to 507 of the family's 1533-position model. The record is from RNAcentral.